ACUUUUAUAGGACAAUAGUCUGUCCAUUGGUCUUAGGAGCCAACACCUCUUGGUGCAAAUCCAAGUAGAAGUU
RNAcentral lists this transfer RNA (73 nucleotides) under Nerophis ophidion (straightnose pipefish). RNAcentral's name for it is "tRNA-Leu". The record is from RNAcentral. Lineage: Eukaryota; Metazoa; Chordata; Actinopteri; Syngnathiformes; Syngnathidae.